RNAcentral lists this ribosomal RNA (192 nucleotides) under uncultured bacterium. RNAcentral's name for it is "partial 16S ribosomal RNA". It matches the Rfam family "Bacterial small subunit ribosomal RNA", at positions 340 to 523 of the family's 1533-position model. The record is from RNAcentral.
UACGGGAGGCAGCAGUGGGGAAUUUUGCGCAAUGGACGAAAGUCUGACGCAGCAACGCCGCGUGAGUGAUGAAGGUUUUCGGAUCGUAAAGCUCUGUCAAGAGGGAAGAAACCUCCAAUGGCUAAUACCUGUUGGAAUUGACGGUACCUCUAGAGGAAGCACCGGCUAACUCCGUGCCAGCAGCCGCGGUAA